CCAGAGAACUUAGCAGAGAUGCUUUGGUGCCUUCGGGAACUCUGAGACAGGUGCUGCAUGGCUGUCGUCAGCUCGUGUUGUGAAAUGUUGGGUUAAGUCCCGCAACGAGCGCGACCCCUAUCCUUUGUUGCCAGCGAUUCGGUCGGGAACUCAAAGGAGACUGCCGGUGAUAAACCGGAGGAAGGUGGGGAUGACGUCAAGUCAUCAUGGCCCUUACGAGUAGGGCUACACACGUGCUACAAUGGUGCAUACAAAGAGAAGCGACCUCGCGAGAGCAAGCGGACCUCAUAAAGUGCGUCGUAGUCCGGAUUGGAGUCUGCAACUCGACUCCAUGAAGUCGGAAUCGCUAGUAAUCGUAGAUCAGAAUGCUACGGUGAAUACGUUCCCGGGCCUUGUACACACCGCCCGUCACACCAUGGGAGUGGGUUGCAAAAGAAGUAGAUAGCUUAACCUUCGGGAGGGCGUUUACCACUUUGUGAUUCAUGACUGGGGUGAAGUCGUAACAAGGUAGGCGUAGCGAG
RNAcentral lists this ribosomal RNA (521 nucleotides) under uncultured bacterium. Its description in RNAcentral is "bacterial SSU rRNA". It matches the Rfam family "Bacterial small subunit ribosomal RNA", at positions 988 to 1509 of the family's 1533-position model. The record is from RNAcentral.